UGGGGAAUAUUGCACAAUGGGCGCAAGCCUGAUGCAGCCAUGCCGCGUGUGUGAAGAAGGCCUUCGGGUUGUAAAGCACUUUCAGCGAGGAGGAAGGUGGUGAACUUAAUACGUUCAUCAAUUGACGUUACUCGCAGAAGAAGCACCGGCUAACUCCGUGCCAGCAGCCGCGGUAAUACGGAGGGUGCAAGCGUUAAUCGGAAUUACUGGGCGUAAAGCGCACGCAGGCGGUUUGUUAAGUCAGAUGUGAAAUCCCCGGGCUCAACCUGGGAACUGCAUUUGAAACUGGCAAGCUAGAGUCUCGUAGAGGGGGGUAGAAUUCCAGGUGUAGCGGUGAAAUGCGUAGAGAUCUGGAGGAAUACCGGUGGCGAAGGCGGCCCCCCUGGACGAAGACUGACGCUCAGGUGCGAAAGCGCGGGGAGCAAACAGGUUAGAUACCCUGGUAGUCCACGCUGUAAACGAUGUCGAUUUGGAGGUUGUGCCCCUUGAGGGCGUGGCUUCCGGAGCUAACGCGUUAAAUCGACCGCCUGGGGAGUACGGCC
Molecule: ribosomal RNA, 542 nt
Filed under: uncultured bacterium
Lineage: Bacteria
Description: partial 16S ribosomal RNA
Rfam family: Bacterial small subunit ribosomal RNA
Source: RNAcentral